RNAcentral lists this unclassified non-coding RNA (267 nucleotides) under plant metagenome. RNAcentral's name for it is "partial contains small subunit ribosomal RNA and internal transcribed spacer 1". The stretch from base 1 to 48 matches the Rfam family "Eukaryotic small subunit ribosomal RNA", at positions 1786 to 1831 of the family's 1831-position model. The record is from RNAcentral.
AAGUCGUAACAAGGUUUCCGUAGGUGAACCUGCGGAAAGGGAUCAUUUAUUGAGAUAGGUUCAGAAGCCUAUUAGGUCCACCCCAAACGCUUGAAAUAUUAGCGGAAUGGGCAGUAAUACCAAUCGGCAUGACCGUUUGAAUCCAAGGGCCAGCUAUCCCACCCGUGUAUAUAUACUCUGUUGCUUUUCCGGGCGUUCAUACCCCCGGAGAGAAACCCCAACUCAUUGAAUUUUAUGGAACGUCUGAGUACUAUAUAAUAGUUAAAA